This 98-nucleotide small nuclear RNA is filed under the name Sus scrofa (pig). Lineage: Eukaryota; Metazoa; Chordata; Mammalia; Artiodactyla; Suidae. RNAcentral also lists the same sequence under 1 other name. The record is from RNAcentral.
UUGCUUUGGCAGCACAUAUACUAAAAUUGGAAUGAUACAGAGGUUAGCAUGGCCCCUAUGCAAGGAUGACACAAAUUCUUAAAGCGUUCCAUAUUAAA